UGAUCCUGGCUCAGGACGAACGCUGGCGGCGUGCCUAAUACAUGCAAGUCGAACGCUUUUUCUUUCACCGGAGCUUGCUCCACCGAAAGAAAAAGAGUGGCGAACGGGUGAGUAACACGUGGGUAACCUGCCCAUCAGAAGGGGAUAACACUUGGAAACAGGUGCUAAUACCGUAUAACACUAUUUUCCGCAUGGAAGAAAGUUGAAAGGCGCUUUUGCGUCACUGAUGGAUGGACCCGCGGUGCAUUAGCUAGUUGGUGAGGUAACGGCUCACCAAGGCAACGAUGCAUAGCCGACCUGAGAGGGUGAUCGGCCACACUGGGACUGAGACACGGCCCAGACUCCUACGGGAGGCAGCAGUAGGGAAUCUUCGGCAAUGGACGAAAGUCUGACCGAGCAACGCCGCGUGAGUGAAGAAGGUUUUCGGAUCGUAAAACUCUGUUGUUAGAGAAGAACAAGGAUGAGAGUAAAAUGUUCAUCCCUUGACGGUAUCUAACCAGAAAGCCACGGCUAACUACGUGCCAGCAGCCGCGGUAAUACGUAGGUGGCAAGCGUUGUCCGGAUUUAUUGGGCGUAAAGCGAGCGCAGGCGGUUUCUUAAGUCUGAUGUGAAAGCCCCCGGCUCAACCGGGGAGGGUCAUUGGAAACUGGGAGACUUGAGUGCAGAAGAGGAGAGUGGAAUUCCAUGUGUAGCGGUGAAAUGCGUAGAUAUAUGGAGGAACACCAGUGGCGAAGGCGGCUCUCUGGUCUGUAACUGACGCUGAGGCUCGAAAGCGUGGGGAGCGAACAGGAUUAGAUACCCUGGUAGUCCACGCCGUAAACGAUGAGUGCUAAGUGUUGGAGGGUUUCCGCCCUUCAGUGCUGCAGC
Molecule: ribosomal RNA, 867 nt
Filed under: Listeria monocytogenes
Lineage: Bacteria; Bacillati; Bacillota; Bacilli; Caryophanales; Listeriaceae
Description: bacterial SSU rRNA
Rfam family: Bacterial small subunit ribosomal RNA
Source: RNAcentral